This 548-nucleotide ribosomal RNA is filed under the name uncultured bacterium. Its description in RNAcentral is "bacterial SSU rRNA". It matches the Rfam family "Bacterial small subunit ribosomal RNA", at positions 355 to 895 of the family's 1533-position model. The record is from RNAcentral.
UAGGGAAUCUUCGGCAAUGGGGGCAACCCUGACCGAGCAACGCCGCGUGAGUGAAGAAGGUUUUCGGAUCGUAAAGCUCUGUUGUAAGUCAAGAACGAGUGUGAGAGUGGAAAGUUCACACUGUGACGGUAGCUUACCAGAAAGGGACGGCUAACUACGUGCCAGCAGCCGCGGUAAUACGUAGGUCCCGAGCGUUGUCCGGAUUUAUUGGGCGUAAAGCGAGCGCAGGCGGUUUGAUAAGUCUGAAGUUAAAGGCUGUGGCUCAACCAUAGUUCGCUUUGGAAACUGUCAAACUUGAGUGCAGAAGGGGAGAGUGGAAUUCCAUGUGUAGCGGUGAAAUGCGUAGAUAUAUGGAGGAACACCGGUGGCGAAAGCGGCUCUCUGGUCUGUAACUGACACUGAGGCUCGAAAGCGUGGGGAGCGAACAGGAUUAGAUACCCUGGUAGUCCACACCGUAACGAUGAGUGCUAGGUGUUGGAUCCUUUCCGGGAUUCAGUGCCGCAGCUAACGCAUUAAGCACUCCGCCUGGGGAGUACGACCGCAAGGUU